This 301-nucleotide ribosomal RNA is filed under the name uncultured bacterium. RNAcentral describes it as "partial 16S ribosomal RNA". It matches the Rfam family "Bacterial small subunit ribosomal RNA", at positions 509 to 808 of the family's 1533-position model. The record is from RNAcentral.
CAGUGCCACGGGAAUACGUAGGUGGCAAGCGUUGUCCGGAAUUAUUGGGCGUAAAGGGCUCGCAGGCGGUUUCUUAAGUCUGAUGUGAAAGCCCCCGGCUCAACCGGGGAGGGUUAUUGGAAACUGGGAAACUUGAGUGCAGAAGAGGAGAGUGGAAUUCCACGUGUAGCGGUGAAAUGCGUAGAGAUGUGGAGGAACACCAGUGGCGAAGGUGACUCUCUGGUCUGUAACUGACGCUGAGGAGCGAAAGCGUGGGGAGCGAACAGGAUUAGAUACCCCGGUAGUCCCUGUCUCUUAUACA